GGAGGGGUGGCAGAGCGGUCGAAUGCGGUGGCCUCGAAAGCCAUUGUCCGAUUUAUCGGACCGGGGGUUCGAAUCCUCUCCCCUCCGCCA
This 90-nucleotide transfer RNA is filed under the name Candidatus Tantalella remota. Its description in RNAcentral is "tRNA-Ser". It matches the Rfam family "tRNA". From Rfam's summary of the family: Transfer RNA (tRNA) molecules are approximately 80 nucleotides in length. Their secondary structure includes four short double-helical elements and three loops (D, anti-codon, and T loops). Lineage: Bacteria; Pseudomonadati; Candidatus Omnitrophota. The record is from RNAcentral.